Molecule: long non-coding RNA, 832 nt
Organism: Leptidea sinapis
Lineage: Eukaryota; Metazoa; Arthropoda; Insecta; Lepidoptera; Pieridae
Exons: 2
Source: RefSeq, a predicted model, not a curated record
UAUUGAAUGUGAAGCAGAAUGUUAUAAUUCUCCGAUUUUUUUAUUACUUUUAAUUAAAAACUACACGAAUCGCAUCAUCUGAUUACUGAUUGGAGAUUUGGCGGAAACAAUUGACUAUUAGACAGUGUGUUGAAUUGAUCCUUCAAUGACAUUGCGAUGCUCUACGUUGCAUACUGCGUUAUUGUGUUCACGUUGUCACAUUCCUCGCAUACUUACAAAGCAAAUAUUCAUGGCCAAUAUGAUAUGACUUCAUGGGUACAACCAAUCCAAGAACCUCAUAAGGUAAAGCAUGAAAUCAUAGAUGCAGAGGAAUUGAAUAAUAGAUACUGGCAACACGGGAGAUAUGCGUGGCUCAAUAUUAUAAUGGGAAUUAUUUUCCGUCCUAAAAUCCCUAUCAGGCCGCCUAAAUUCCCUAUUAGGCCGCCUAAAAUCCCUAUCAGGCCGCCUAAAAUAAGGCCGCCAAAAAUAAAGCCGCCACCAAAAAAGCCGUCGGCUACAAAACCACCGGUCAAACCAACUAAGAAACCCCCUAAAGCGACGACCAAAAAACCUAAAAAAGGCGACAACAGCAAUGACAUCGACAUUGACGUCGAUAUUCGUGUUAAUAGUACCAAUAACUGUGAGUGUGUUUGUCCACCCGAUGAGGUGCCUUCCGGUUCAGAGGAACCCUCCAGCCCGGAGGAACUAUCCAGUCUGGGGGAACCGUAUCCCAGCUACUAACUACUAAGACCAAAACAACUGCGAUUGAACUCAUUACAAUGUUUGCCAAUGUCCUUUUAAUAUCAAAGGAUUAUUUUAAAUGCACUAUAAAUUAAUAUUAUUAUUCAUUAAU